UGUGCCUCCUCAGGUGCUGACCUGUGAGGGAGGAAGGAGCUCGGGCUGCAGACCCUCCUGGGCCUCCGUGUCUCAGGCUGCGUAAGGACAUCAUCAUGAUCAUGACAGGGGAACAAACAAUGGCAGACUGUAUGCCAGUCGUAUCCUACCUGCCUCUCCCCGGAACGCAGAAAGUGCAAGGGUUAGUCGCUCAGUUGUGUCCGACUCUGUGACCCCAUGGAUUGUAGCCCGCCAGGCUCCUCUAUCCAUGAAAUUCUCUAAGAAUACUGGAGAGGGUUGCUACUCCCUUCUCCAGGUGAUCUUCCUAAUCCAGGGAUCAAACCCAGGUCUCUUGCAUUGCAGGCAGAUUCUUUACUGCCCAAGUCACCAGGAUGAAGCCCUCAGAGGCCCAGAGACCUCGCCAUCUCCUACUAUGCAGGCUGUGCUACACUGUGACCCCCCCACCUGUUACCUCUGCUGGGAGUACCAGGCUUUCAGGCUCCCGACUCAUCCUCCAAGGCACAACUUUCCUGACCGCUGCAAACAGACUCAAUCCCCCCUCAUCUGCCCCCACCCCUGGCCCGCCUCUAUUGCAUCACGUGGAGUUGCCUGUUUUCCUCCACACUGGAAACUUCCUGAGGGCAGGGCUUGGGCUCUGUUCUCCUCUGUAGCCACUAGGCUCAAGGACUCAACAAAUGUUUGCUGAACAAAUUAAUUUGUUUUCACUUAACGAGCUCAUUAGGGCUCUAGCUUCCUCCUAAUUACGAAGCAGGAAGUUUCCUUUUUUUCCAUAACGAUCCAUCUUUGGGGAAUGAUGGCAGAACUUCAACUUCGGCAAGAAGAAGGCAAUCAAACUAGACCCCUGGCACACGUUUGCAUUUGAAAGAAAGAAAACAUGCAGGCUCAGUGAGGUACAGUUUAAACAAAACACGUGUAUAUUAAAAGCUUCACAUUAAAUAUACAUUAUCAUACAGUUCAUCACACAGAAUUAGAUCUUUACAGGACACUUUCAGCAGGAGGGGGUGGUCACAAGGCUCCUGGCAGUGACACAACAGCCCCGAGGAGAAGGGGAGAGACUGGGGGCUGUCCAUGCCCAGGGGGUGCCUGAGUGUGUCUCUGUGGGGUUCUGGAAGGUUCUCCUGCAUCUGGGCUCUGGGUUGUGCUCGUUCCAUUGGACAACUUGCCCCAUUUGUCUCUGUCAGUAAUCGCUGGUGGAAGGUAAAAGACGUGGCAGCUUGCCGGAUGAUCAUCUGAUCCCGCCAGGACCCUUCACGGGCAUCGAUGGGCCGCUCUAAUCGCCAGCCUGCCCUCUCUGCCCGUUUCUGCAGGCACUGUCCUUGGGGUCUGUGAGAGCACAUGGGAAGCCUGGCUGUCUGUCCCUGCUGGGCCCUUGAUCAAGUGACAUCAACUGCUGCCCUGAGCGUGUAUUGGAGAGCUGAUCAGAGCUCGGUGUUCUGAAUCUUAAAAAGGCAAUCUCCGGGGCCUGUGACUGCAGAAGCAGAGCAUCCACCAAGGGCUCCACCUGUUGUUCCCAGGGCCCUGCUGGAAGUUACGUCAAGAUGGCCCUCUGCCUGCCCACCAGAGCUGCUCUGGGAGGGGAGGCACAGCUCAGCUGGGAUUGGCCCAGCCUUCAGAAGAGGGGCCUUUUCACCUCUUUCUUUAGAAGCGCUGCUCUGUGAGCCUGUAUCCUGACAGGCAGGUGGGCCCUCUCUCCCCACAAAGCCUCCUUUCUUUCUGGGCCGCCAUCUUGUUCUGGAGGGGCUGCCCAAAAGGCCUUGACUCCUUGGUGCUCAAGGACAUUACUGCUGAAGUGGUUGGGGCAUUAUGGUCAAUAAUGAAGCCAGCAAUGGAGGGAAAGAAAAGGGAAAAAAACCCCAACAGUCCUGUGGCUCUGAGCAACGCAGCCUGUUAGGGGUUGGAGGCUGUGCUCUGAGACAAAAUGCUGAGGCGGGAUAUUGUGUGGCAGGGAGCUUUUUUUUCCCUCUAAGAAAUCCAGCUCAUUUUCCCCCUCAUUAAUUGGCAGCAGAUGAAAAAAAAAAAAAAAAGCCAAAACAAAACCCAAACCAACGCCAAUAACCUGAAUGUGAGUGUUUCUGAAAGGGAAAAGCUGUUUCAAUUGUUAGAUGUCCAAGAAAACAUGAAUACACGCCGCCAGAGGAAAUGGUCACAAUUAGAG
Bos taurus (domestic cattle) is the source of this 2155-nucleotide long non-coding RNA. The record is from Ensembl. NCBI's taxonomy places the organism in Eukaryota, Metazoa, Chordata, Mammalia, Artiodactyla, Bovidae.